AUGCCAGUUCACAAGCUGUGCUUGCCACUUCCUCCCUGCAGCAGCCAUCGUUUCUCUCCUGCUUUUCUGGGUCAGCCAGUUGGCCAAAAAGUGGUGGAAGAGAGAGUCAACAGCCAUAUUUGCUGGAGCGGUGAACCAAAUUGCCUUGACUGGAACCAUUACUCACUUGCACCUUUGACAGCAGCAGCCAGGAAAUUUGAAGCUAGUCAUGCCUAUUAGAUGCCUAGAAGAUGCAGAUAGCUGUGUCACCAUGGAAGAGAUGAAGAGAACUUUGCUCUAGUAGAUCACAAGUAUCUCUGGGUCAUUCUGCAUCUCAGUAUUUAAUAACAAUGGAAAAAGUCCAAAUGCUAUAACAAGUCUUUGCAAAUGUAUAAUAAACUGUUUAGGAAAGUUCCUGCCAUGAACAGAACUGUAUAAUACUCACAUU
Molecule: long non-coding RNA, 427 nt
Filed under: Accipiter nisus (Eurasian sparrowhawk)
Lineage: Eukaryota; Metazoa; Chordata; Aves; Accipitriformes; Accipitridae
Description: lncRNA (ENSANIG00000012819.1)
Source: RNAcentral